This 253-nucleotide ribosomal RNA is filed under the name uncultured bacterium. Its description in RNAcentral is "partial 16S ribosomal RNA". It matches the Rfam family "Bacterial small subunit ribosomal RNA", at positions 524 to 776 of the family's 1533-position model. The record is from RNAcentral.
UACGUAGGUGGCAAGCGUUGUCCGGAUUUACUGGGCGUAAAGAGCGCGCAGGCGGUCUUGUAAGUCGAAUGUGAAAGCCCCUGGCUCAACUGGGGAGGGUCAUUCGAUACUGCUCGACUUGAAGGCAGGAGAGGGAAGCGGAAUUCCCGGUGUAGUGGUGAAAUGCGUAGAUAUCGGGAGGAACACCAGUGGCGAAGGCGGCUUUCUGGCCUGUUCUUGACGCUGAGGCGCGAAAGCUAGGGGAGCAAACGGG